Molecule: long non-coding RNA, 206 nt
Filed under: Lathyrus oleraceus (garden pea)
Lineage: Eukaryota; Viridiplantae; Streptophyta; Magnoliopsida; Fabales; Fabaceae
Description: Pisum sativum (pea) long non-coding RNA (PSAT_LNC009609)
Source: RNAcentral
ACCGGUAUGGGAUUAGCAUUAACAUUCGGUGACGGCGCAAAAUUGAUAGCUUUGGAGUCCACCAGAUCUUGGACGACAUUCUUGAAUGCUCUACAGCCCUCAAUGUUAUGCCCCUGCGUACCAGAAUGAAAUUCACACUUGGCAUUCUCAUCGUAAUCGGGAGGCCACUGAUCUGUUCUUAUCGGAACCAUCGCCCUCGGCUGGAC